GACGAACGCUGGCGGCGUGCUUAACACAUGCAAGUCGAGCGGUAAGGCCCUUUCGGGGGUACGACGAGCGGCGAACGGGUGAGUAACACGUGGGUGACCUGCCCUCCAGCUCUGGGAUAAGCCUGGGAAACCGGGUCUAAUACCGGAUAUGACUCCAUGACGCAUGUUGUGGGUGGAAAGCCUUGUGCGGCUGAGGAUGGGCCCGCGGCCUAUCAGCUUGUUGGUGGGGUGAUGGCCUACCAAGGCGACGACGGGUAGCCGGCCUGAGAGGGCGACCGGCCACACUGGGACUGAGACACGGCCCAGACUCCUACGGGAGGCAGCAGUGGGGAAUCUUGCGCAAUGGGCGAAAGCCUGACGCAGCGACGCCG
Molecule: ribosomal RNA, 371 nt
Filed under: uncultured bacterium
Lineage: Bacteria
Description: bacterial SSU rRNA
Rfam family: Bacterial small subunit ribosomal RNA
Source: RNAcentral